This 5066-nucleotide long non-coding RNA is filed under the name Equus caballus (horse). RNAcentral's name for it is "lncRNA (ENSECAG00000053561.1)". Lineage: Eukaryota; Metazoa; Chordata; Mammalia; Perissodactyla; Equidae. The record is from RNAcentral.
UGUGCAAUUAAGGGGAGACAGCGGCUUCGAGUGAGACCAAUCUGGAGUUUCAGGAAAAUUCAAGACAGAGCAGACCUGGCCCUCACGCCUUUUCUGUUGUUCUGCUCUGCUGGACGCUGGACGCUGUCUCUGUGACCGACCACCAGUCAGAAGGCCCGGGGAGGCUGGGAGGCUGGAAGCUUCUGAACUACUUUUCUUGGGUGUCCUCUGCUGGAGGAAGCACCUUGAGGAACACCCUCCUGUUUCUCUCCCGUCUGUGAAGCUCGGGUCCCGGUGUGUAACUGGACGUGUGCUGCUGACAGCAGUGUCCUGGGUGGCCGGCUGGGCCUGCUGUGGGCCACCAGGCCCGGCUGGACCCGGCCGUUCCUCUGCUCGCUCACACCCCACAGAUUCACCUUCCUUGAAUUUGCCGUAGUUUUCACUCCCCAUCGUGUCCAGCCAUCACCCCCGCCUCAAGUGUCCGUAUUGUCCGGUUCCAGUUGGGAGGAUCACUCUUGGGCUGUUUAAUCUCGAUGGAGUCGCCGUGAUGAAUUACGGAUGAAAAGUGCUGCGAGCCUGGGUGCUCUGUGGUGAUGGGAGGAAGGGAGUGGUUAUCUGGGAUCCUUUGGUGAUUAAUCUUGGUGCCUGGUGCUCUCUGUGGCCACAGACUUCGAUUUCCUCUCUCUGACCGACAGGUCAGUAAGUCAGCUGUCCCUGGAGGUUCCUCCCAAUUCUGGGAUUCUGGGAUUUUAUUGUGCAUUCCACAUGUGUGUGAGCAAUUACGAUGGAGCAGGAGUGUUUAUGAUUAUAAAGGUGUAAGAAAACUCAAGAGAUUCACCAUCAAGACAGCAUCCUGUUCGACCUUGAGAUGGUAGCACUUCUCAAAGUGUGAAGAGUGUGGUGAUCAUAAGACACCCCCUGUCAACAGUGUCUGCGCUCCGGCUGGUGGAACGCUGCGUCCGUGCAGCUCACAGGAACGGGCGUGGCUCGGCCUUGGAACGGUCACGACACGUUUGGACUCAUCUCCUCCUUCACCAGUCCCUCUCAUCCCUAUGAUUCUUCAAGAUGAUUCCCCUGUUUACUUAAGACAGGUGUGCGUUCCCAGCAUCAGUGAAUGAUGAAUUACCAUCACGUCAGAGGUCCUUGCAGCGAUGAUUACCAUACUGAACAAAGAAUCGUCCAACGAUCACGCCUUUAUUUGGGGAGGAAGAGUCUCAGUCCAUUCAGGAUGCUGUAAAAAAAUACCAGAGAUGGGGGGCUUAUGAAUGAUAGACGCUGAUUUCCCACAGUUCUGGAGGCUGGAAGUCCGAGACUGGGUGCCGGCAGAUCCCGUCUCUGGGAAUCAGGACAACGGACAAACCAAUUAGAAAGGAAAACCGUUUAGAAGCUUGUGCUGGUCCCACCCACCCUUUCAAGGAGCCAAGAAUAAACAGCUCAGUGGAGAGUGUCAUCCUGGCUGGUUGGGCAGAGUAAAGGGAGAUGUGAGAGGGUGAUUCUAAGCUGAGGUUUCCCGCCUGGAGCGGGGUCAGGAGGGAAAAGGCAGUUAAGUAACAUUUUUGCAGUAGCAGCCUGGUGGUGUGAUGGUUAAGUUUGUGAGCUCCACUUUGGUGGCCUGGGGUUUGCAGGUUCAGAUCUCGGGCACAGACCUGGCACCACUCAUUGGCAGCCAUUCUAUGGCAGCAUCCCACAUAGAACAGAGGAAGAUGGCCACAGAUGUUAGCUCAGGGACAAUCUUCCUCACACAAAAAAAUUACAUCUUUGCGGGAGGCCUUUUCCAUCUGCCGCCAGGGUCCGGCAUUCCGAAGGCCGACUUCAUCCAUCCAGGGGGUGCUAGGGGGCCACGAUGGUGAAGGCGCGUCUGCCCACCGCUCCCUGCCAGGCGAGAGGUCAACCCACUGCUGCAACUGCGAGCCUCGCGCCUGGGCUGCAUGCGUCUAAGGACCUGGGCGUCAGUCACCUUGGGUGACAGUGUGACUCUGCCCUCCACCCCAGCCGAUUGUCCCGUGUGGACCCAGGCCCAAGCUGGGAUAGCAGAGCCCUUUCCGGGAAAUCUGACCCAGAAGUGAGGAGACCAUCUCUCCAGCCAGGCUGCCCUCUAAGCUGGAGAAGCAUGAGAGCGUAGGCCUGUGCGGCGCCGCCUCCCCCAGCAGGUGGAAGUCCUGAGAAAUCGAGUCUGCGAGGAAAAAGGAAUGAAGCAGCCACACCGGGAGAACCAGAGUGAGGUGGCCUCUUUCCUCUUGACUUCGGCAAACCAGGCUUUCCUGGGUUUUCUCCAUCUCUCAGCCUUCCGGGCCCCGUGCCACCUCCCCCUCCCUCUUGAAGGGAGGGAGGUUCCCACGUGGAGCUGAGGAGUCGUGUCAGCCCGCGGAGGGUAGUGCUCAGGUCCCGGGACGUGAGUAAGCCCCGGAUCAGCUGCGCCUGAGUCCUUCUCAGAACUUGCCAAUUAUGCGAGUCAACACGUCUCUUCUUUGCUUUUGCCGAUUUGCCCCAGAUUCUGUGUCUUACGACUAAGAAAGCCCCAGCUGAUGCAGACGUCAUGCUCCAUGUGCUUUCUCCUACCACAACUUGAGAAGAGAAUCCUGCUGGUGAGCACCCACUGUGCACUUCGGACAUGCAAGCACCAUCUUCAGUGUUUUUUGUGAUGGUCUCAGUGAACCCCCACAACACCCCAAUGUGUUGUCCCAUGUGACGGAUGAGGAAACUGAGGCUGGAAAGAAUUCAAAUACUGCCCAACAUCCUACAGCCUCGAGAGAGUCAGGCAGCACUUGGGUCCACACACUGAUCCGAAGUCUAGGCUCGCAGCCUCUUUGCUGGAGCCAUGUGUGAAGUCAGCCUUGUGGGGACCAUCCCCCCAGGAAAUCCCGGUAGUUUUAAUGUGGGGAGAUUAGUCACUUUGCGUCUUUAGUUGCAUUUGGUUUCUGUGCUUUAUUUUGUUUAAUGUAUUUAGUUCCUCUGUUACUUUGUAAAUUACGAAUUUAACUCUGCUUGUACUUGCACAUGCACGGAUUUAAUUCUACACUUUCAACGUUUAAAACUGAGCAUCAGCUUUCCGAGGAAAACAAAGAAAAUCUAAAUGCAAAAAGGAACAAAACACAAUGGAGAAUGUCACUCCCAAGUAAGACACAACCAGUUCUGCCCAUUCUCCACCGACUUCCAGAACUCGUCGAAGGUUGGUCUUCGCAGGCAGGAGUUUCCCCUCCACGUCACACUUAAGCUUGCUGGAGGGGCAGCUGCGUGGUCAGGUGUCACUCGGCCAGCCAAACAUGCCAAGCCACCCUUUGCUGAUCUUCCAGACCCCCGUUCAUAAGAUUAUUGUUUCCUGUUGUGAACCCGAGGAGGUGCACAGAUAGACGCUGGGAAAGGCUGCCUGCCCGCCCUCACACGGACCGAGUGGAAUCUCCGAGCCAGCACGCGAGAAGGAAGGAUGAGCCCUGCAGGGCUGCGUGAGGCCCCGAGCCCUCCACCCCGCCCAGCAACAGGGGAGAAGGGUUUCUUUUAUCCCCACAUGAUGUAUGGAUUCCUUUUCCCUGUUUGAGAGCCAGGAAAAGAUAGAAAUGAGCUUGGAACAGAAAUGCAUAGAAAUCCUUUCCUACUGUGUUCUGUUCAAGGUGUUUCUCCAAAUGUAAGUGGAGAGCCGAGAUGUGAAGGAGAGAAGAGAGACCUCAGGGAUAGGAGACACCACGUGGAGCCUGACAGUGACAGCCAGCAGCAGAAGGCAGAGACACUUGAGGAAGAGACCCUUGACCAGAGGAGAAUGCUAAGCCCUGAUUGCAGCCAUGCCAGAGGAAAAAAGUGUUCACACAGAAGGGCCUACGGGUUGAGCUAAGUGGCAACAGGAGUGGGAAGGUGUCUGCUUUGGGAUUUGUGUGUAGCAAAGAACGUCAGAAGAAAGCUUCUUUAUGUAAUUUAAUGUGAGAUCUCCAAGUUAGCCACUGGGUUUCACCAAGAUUCAAGUAAAUUCAAUGACACUCCCAGCGGCUCUUAUUCUCAAAGUUGUCUGCAGAGCCAGAAUCAUUAGAAUUCAACUCCAGCAAGAGCAGAAGGAGAGAGAGAUUUCUGACUUCCUCAGCCCACGUCUUCCUUCCUAGAAAGUGAGCAAAGCCACUGGUAUAAAAGUUCUAAUAAUAAUUCUCCCUUCCCUGCCUGCUGUUGACGAUCUCCUCCGCCCCCAGAGCCUGGAGGUAAGGCGCCUCGCCCGCACCAGCUCUUGCUCCAAAGCCCUUUAUCAGGAGAAAUGCUGUGUGUCAGCCCCCCAGCCGGCCUGGCCCCUGGCAGGUCUUCUCUGAGAGUCAGGGUGGACAGCACAGCGAGGGCGAGGCACCUUCCCCAUAAUGGACUCUGCCCACUCUUCUCUCUUUUCACCCAGAAUCAUGAGAUGCACGGUUCACACCUGCGUUAUGUGUGGGCUCUGUCCACCUGAGCCACCAGCUUCCCAAUGCCUGGGAAACGGAAUUUGUGUUAUCCUGUGUUAUUCCACUGGUACACAACUGAAACCAUGAGCAUUCAUUUACAGAGGACGCCCCCCUCCCCGCAAGGCCCUCGGGGCUGCUGAAUGUGUCUCAGGACCAUGACUGGGGCUCUGUCAACUAAGCCACCCAGAGCAAACUCGAGAUUCCUCCCCAGGCCCAUUUCCUCCUCGUCUUGCCCAUCGGAGAAAAUGCACCGAUAUCCGCUCCACUGUUCCAGGCAGACUUCUGGGUGUCCCUGGGGCUCUGUCCAGCUGUGCAUCCUUCCUCUCCAGGCCAGAACGCAGGUACCUCAGGACAGCCCUGGCCCCGUGUCCACUGCCAUUCCUUCACGUCUGCCAUGCUGCUUGGCACACGAUAGGCACUCAGUGAGUGUUCGUCAUGAUUUAAUAAUCCCCCGGGUUACACACUCACCGUCUCCUCCUUUGGAAUCCCAUUGGCGGGGGGGCCUGAGGUUCAGCUUUGCUUUAAUCAGAUCCCCUGUCCAUUCCUGUCGGCGCCAGCUUUCUGGCUCAUUCAUUCAUUCACUCACUCGUUCUUCCGGAAAACAUUAAGGAGGCUUUUGCUCUUUGGGACCCUGAGCUCAGUCCCAGCCAUCAAGGACUCAGGCUGGCAGCGGGG